CUGAAACAGGUUGUCACUGGCAGGCAGCAAAGCAGGAGGUGUGGAAACGGGCGGCCGUGUCGUCAGAUGGAGGUUUCUGAAAGUUCAAGGGAGCCAUGGUUACAAACACCUCCUGUACGGUCAGGCCCUUGGGCGCAGUGCGGGGACACUGGGCGGGAAGAGAAGAACCCCAGACUCCUGUUGGAACCAGGAUGCUGCCCUGGAAUUGCUGCAGGCUCCCUGGGAUCCCUGGCUGUGUCGUGGAAAAGACACUUAGGCUGGAGACUGAGACUCUAGUCCAGACUUUCUGCUUCCUGAUUAUGUCAUCUUAAGUCAUGUGACCUCUCUGAGUUUCUGUUUCUUCAUUGGUAAAACCAAGAAGAUGAUAGUGAUGACGAUAUUACUUACCUGGCUUACCUUAAAAGUGCUGACUGGGACAAUGAUGUUGCACCUAUUUAGGGGGGUUUAUUUGCUAUCUAUCUCUUCUUGGGUGAAGUGACCAUUCAAAUCUUUCACCCAUUAAAAAAAAAAAGUGAAAGUGAAAACACAACAGAUUGUUGGACUUCUCUGGUGGUCCAGUGGUUAAGAAUCUGCCUGCCAAUGCAGGGGAGAUGGAUUCAACCCCUGGUCCAGGAAGACUCCAUAUACUGAGGGGCAACUAAGCCUGUGUGUGAUAACUGCUGACACCCGCACACUCCAGAGCCUGUGUUCUGCGACAAGAGAAGCCACUACAACGGGAGGCCUGCUGACCACAACUAGAGAGUAGCCCCUACUUGCUGGAAGUAGAGAAAGCCCUCAGGCAGCAACAAAGACCAGGCACAAUCAAAAAAUAAAACACAUACCUUUAAAAAAUGAUUGUUUGUU
RNAcentral lists this long non-coding RNA (843 nucleotides) under Bos indicus x Bos taurus (hybrid cattle). Its description in RNAcentral is "lncRNA (ENSBIXG00005019181.1)". Lineage: Eukaryota; Metazoa; Chordata; Mammalia; Artiodactyla; Bovidae. The record is from RNAcentral.